Molecule: ribosomal RNA, 301 nt
Filed under: uncultured bacterium
Lineage: Bacteria
Description: partial 16S ribosomal RNA
Rfam family: Bacterial small subunit ribosomal RNA
Source: RNAcentral
CAGUAGCCGCGGUAAUACGGAGAGGGCUAGCGUUGUUCGGAAUUACUGGGCGUAAAGCGUACGUAGGCGGCUUUGUAAGUUAGAGGUGAAAGCCCGGGGCUCAACCCCGGAAUUGCCUUUAAGACUGCAUCGCUUGAACGUCGGAGAGGUGAGUGGAAUUCCGAGUGUAGAGGUGAAAUUCGUAGAUAUUCGGAAGAACACCAGUGGCGAAGGCGGCUCACUGGACGACUGUUGACGCUGAGGUACGAAAGCGUGGGGAGCAAACAGGAUUAGAUACCCCAGUAGUCCCUGUCUCUUAUAC